GAUCAUGUACUGCCGCUCAGAGGGCGGGGGCGGGGGCGGGGGCAGGGGGGCGGCGGGGGCGGGG
Molecule: microRNA precursor, 64 nt
Filed under: Ovis aries (sheep)
Lineage: Eukaryota; Metazoa; Chordata; Mammalia; Artiodactyla; Bovidae
Description: miRNA (ENSOARG00000022768.1)
Source: RNAcentral